AGUGCGACGUUGCCGGUCGAAGCGUCUCCAGCACAGGUGUCAAAAAGGUUCAAACACGCCUGAAAAUCCUAAACUGUAUAUUGUUCAAUGUCGAGGGCGUCGUGAAUUUCGCCUCGUGGGCGUUGCACCCGCAGCACACUGACCCAGACAUAUGGGCUCUGGAGGAAGGAACUCUUGGCGUGACAACGGGCGCGAAUGACGAGCUGUUGCCAAAAGAGAUCAAAGAGGUAGCGAGCAUCGACGAGAUGUUGCAGCCAGAGCGAGCGUCGCUUCAGAUCAUCGGAUCUUAUCGUGUUGCUCUUGAUCUCGGAACGAUGGGCGUCGUAUGCAAAGGACGCUUCAAACAUGAGGUCUGCCUUCCAUUGACAAGCCGUACUAUGACGUUUUCCUGAACAAAGCCCUCGAGAGCAAACAGGAUGUUCGCCCCGAUGCCGAGCGCUCGGAUCUUGCUCAGGCGUUUAUUUAAUCUGGUAUCUAUGUGGCACUUCAAGACCCUGCGGAUCAGUGUAGACACUUCUGUAUUGUACGGAAUGACCUGUUCAAUGCGGCACGGCUACUCUCUUGAAGCAAAUAUAAAGCUUUCGAACAAAUUCGCAAGCAGCAUUGGCGGAGACGAUCCAAGUUCCUCGUUUACGAGGGGGGAUUCGGAACCGAGUCUCUUUCCAGGAGGUGCGCACUCGCCAACUUGUUCAAUAUUCUCGAAAUGGAAAUGACCGAUAAGCCGCGUCGCUCUUAUUGGCAGCGAAUGGCGCUGCCCGUGCUGUAUUCCACGAAAGCCGCACCCCGACUCUACCGACGACAGCGACAAACGUUUGCAGGAAUCGAUUCUGUACGAUCUCUGUCGAUAAGUACAGGGCGCCGGAUACCUCCCAUGACCGGAGCAUAUGACCACGCUGAAACUGGUACAGAAGCAGAGUCGAAACCGAACCGCAGUCACGAAACGGUCGACUCUCAUUUGAGCUAACUCCAGGUAUCGAGACAAUUUGAGUUUACUGCCCUGUUAAAAUGUGAUUGCGCAAGCAACCAAGCGCACAAGCAUAUGCUGCAUCGAGACCUGAACGCCUCGAUCAACAUUGCGAAAUGUGUCGUGCUGCAGGAGCCUCAAACGGCACUGUGUCGAUAAAACUUUCGAUGGAAUCUUCUCGGGCUCCUUACAGGCGUUCUGUUGAAAUGGGUAAGACUUUCAAUGAGAAACAAAAGUAUCAGCCAUUAGAGGGGCGAUUCCUUGCCCGACUGUAUCCGGGCACUGGUAUGAACCUGGUCAGCAAUCCAGCAAGGCCUGGACGCCGUCUCUCUAUAUUCGGGGAACGAGUUUCCCGAGCGACUGGUGAACGACAAUCCGAAUCCGUUCUGCCAUACUACUUAGCGUGCAAGGACCGAGCGUCCACGAAACUGGUCGUCGAGUGGAACCCAUCGCUUUGAGUACAUACGCUCAUGGAUGGCGUGCGGAAAGCACUCGUGCGCUGCCGGCCCUGUGCAGCAUUCAUGAGCGACGCAUCGCUUCUAAUGCUCUCGCCUCCACGAACCAGAUUGGAAGCACUCGUGCUCUGCGGGUAUCGUCUUACACCCACGAGAACCCGACCCUGACAGAAUGGUGGAAGCAGCAGCGUCCACCGCAGAACGAUAAACGCACAUGGUGUCGCACGAAAGACGCAAAUGAUCGUUUCGAACGACGUUUGUGUGCUCAGGAUCGUCUUGCGAACAUCUGUUGCGAAACCCUUCCCAUAUACCCACCCGGUUCCAUAUCCAGAGCAUGCCUCUAAGCAGUGCAGAGCUGUAACUGCAAGCGCGCCCUACACAAACACCCGUGGUAUCUUGCAACGAUCAACAGUCGCUGCCGCCUUCGGAUGCUUCUUGAUGGCACGAAUCGAGCAGCCGAAGCGAGCUUCACUGCUCAUCCGCGCUUAGUGAGGUCUCUGCAUACACGUGAUCCGCUAAACGUUGUUUUCAUAGAUGCAUGUAAAGCGCG
This is an RNA transcript of Cyanidioschyzon merolae strain 10D, 1969 nucleotides long. RefSeq lists it as hypothetical. NCBI's taxonomy places the organism in Eukaryota, Rhodophyta, Bangiophyceae, Cyanidiales, Cyanidiaceae. The record is from RefSeq and is a predicted model, not a curated record. The transcript has a single exon.